RNAcentral lists this ribosomal RNA (253 nucleotides) under uncultured Brucellaceae bacterium. Its description in RNAcentral is "partial 16S ribosomal RNA". It matches the Rfam family "Bacterial small subunit ribosomal RNA", at positions 524 to 776 of the family's 1533-position model. Lineage: Bacteria; Pseudomonadati; Pseudomonadota; Alphaproteobacteria; Hyphomicrobiales; Brucellaceae. The record is from RNAcentral.
UACGGAGGGGGCUAGCGUUGUUCGGAUUUACUGGGCGUAAAGCGCACGUAGGCGGAUUGGUCAGUUAGGGGUGAAAUCCCAGGGCUUAACCCUGGAACUGCCUUUAAUACUGCCAGUCUUGAGUAUGGAAGAGGUGAGUGGAAUUGCGAGUGUGGAGGUGAAAUUCGUAGAUAUUCGCAGGAACACCAGUGGCGAAGGCGGCUCACUGGUCCAUUACUGACGCUGAGGUGCGAAAGCGUGGGGAGCAAACAGG